GUCCCAGUAGCGUAAUGGAUAACGCAUUGGACUUUUAUUCCAAAGGUCGUGCGUUCGAAUCCUACCUGGAAUG
Non-coding RNA from Trichonephila inaurata madagascariensis, 73 nucleotides. The record is from the annotation of a GenBank genome assembly. NCBI's taxonomy places the organism in Eukaryota, Metazoa, Arthropoda, Arachnida, Araneae, Nephilidae.